RNAcentral lists this ribosomal RNA (238 nucleotides) under uncultured bacterium. RNAcentral describes it as "partial 16S ribosomal RNA". It matches the Rfam family "Bacterial small subunit ribosomal RNA", at positions 15 to 235 of the family's 1533-position model. The record is from RNAcentral.
GAUUCUGGCUCAGGAUGAACGCUGGCGGCGUGCUUAACACAUGCAAGUCGAGCGAAGCACUUAAGUUUGAUUCUUCGGAUGAAGACUUUUGUGACUGAGCGGCGGACGGGUGAGUAAUGCGUGGGUAACCUGCCUCAUACAGGGGGAUAACAGUUAGAAAUGACUGCUAAUACCGCAUAAGACCACGGUACCGCAUGGCACAGUGGUAAAAACUCCGGUGGUAUGAGAUGGACCCGCG